AAAACCAUACUAAAAUUCUUAACACCAUGGAUAUAUUUCCAUAGAGAAGAGCCAAAAUAACAUGUAUUGUUUCGGAUUUGAAUAUAGAACACUUCAGAAAUGAGAGAAUCGGAACUAUACUUCAGAGUUUCGCACAAAUUCAUCACUUCCAGUAAAAUAAUAAAUAAUCUACUACUACAUAUCAAUGACAUUUAAGAAGGAAGUAGGGGAGAUAGAUAAGAACUGAAUAGCUUAAAUGAACACAGGGAAAUUGAUAUUCAAAAAUAAAUAGGUUUAGUGCAUUUCAACAAAUUCCCUAUUUUCCAAACACAACAACCAAUUCAUGGCUUCAUUCAGUAUACCUGGAAACAAAAAGGGAAGAUAAAAUAGUGAAUAAUCAGCAAAUAUCAGCAACUAAAAUCAGCUCAAAACCAGCAAUGAAACAGUACCCCUUAAUAGCAACUCAAACCAAAUUUCGAAACCUCCAAAUUCAAGUCAUUUUCUACUUAAAUUUAAGACUUUGAAACUUUUCAAAAUUUCUAGCUAACAAAGAAGAUCGGACAACUGAAAACCAACAAAAUUUGAGCAUUUUCAACUAAGAAAUGCAGGGAUUUCAAUGUUCUUCUAGAGUUUUUCUCAUGACUCAACCUUUUCAGUUUUUUAAAAUUUGUAAUCUCUAAUUUCUGACUUGUGAAUGAAGAAAGAGUGCCUUUAUAGGCAAGCCUUAGGGUAGCAGAAAAUGAUUUUAGUUUUGUACUAAAAUCCUUUUGGUAUUUUCAUUUUUGAUGUCAUAUCCUUAGUUUAGAAAUAAAUUAUUCAUAUAAAUCCUAAUCCGACCUUCUAGGAAGCUUGCCUAUUCCGUUACAAGAGAUUCACCUACUUAAAAAUCCUAGACUACCCCUUAAACUCUUGAAAUUACUUCAAAAAUUUCAUAUGUCGAGUUUGACCCAAUGGCUUAAUCCAAAAUGAAUGUGCUACCCUUUGCAAAUGGAUCAGAAAUGACCCAAAGCCCAAACUAACAUCUGUAUUCUAUGAAAGACAGAAGAAAAGAAAAACCCAUUCAGAUGAUUUUUAAACUAAACCUAAAUAAAAUAACUAAUUACUAACCACAAGUGAGCAUGGAAUUAACUAACUUAUUAAAUUGAAAUAAACCUAAUUAAACUAAAAUAUGUGAUUAAAAUAACUUGGUGAAAUCAGAAGUUAACUAUUGCAUUAAACAAACUAAAUAGACCAAAAAUCAGAGUUAAAGGUGUGAAAAAGAGAAACAAAUAGAAGAAACUAACACAACUCAAUUCUAGGCUCAGAAACUUGGUUGAGCUUCAAGUAAGGUGAAAACUUAACCGAAGGAAAGGAGAGGAGAAGAAGAGGAAUAUGAGGUAAAAAUAAAAAUAAAAAAUGGAAAGCAAGAUGGAUAGAACUUACCGACUAAACUUGAAAUCACACUUGAUAACCUUACUUACACGAAACCGAUUCUAAUCACUUUUUCUUUGUCAAGAACAAAGGAACAACAUCAGUUUUGAAGUGAAUCAACCUUCCAAUCAUGAAAACCAAAGGCCUGGGUUGAUGCAUGCCACCGGGUUCAAUGAAAAUUGAUUUUGAACUUUUAGGGUUCGAACCUAGAUUGAAGAUUCUAGAGGUUCUGGCAAGAUUCGAGGGAAAAUGAGUAAGGAUUCAAAAAGGGAGGUGAAGGGGAGUCUUCGGUGUAGGUUUAGGGUGGAUUGGAGGCGGUGUCACCGGCUUGAGGUGGUGGAGAAAUAGGGCGGCGCUAGGGUUUAAGGGGCAUCUCUGAAGAUGAAGGAGAUGAGUUAGGGGGUAGGGGGUCAAUUCGGACAAUUACAUAUAAAAUGGGGCUUAGUUCCGGGCCAUCUGAUUGAAAGAGGUGAAAAGCUAGGAUUGGGGGUCAAAGAAACGGUUUCAUUUGGUCCUUG
This 1907-nucleotide long non-coding RNA is filed under the name Nicotiana benthamiana. RNAcentral describes it as "long non-coding RNA (NBEN_LNC033993)". Lineage: Eukaryota; Viridiplantae; Streptophyta; Magnoliopsida; Solanales; Solanaceae. The record is from RNAcentral.